AUGCACGCUGGCGGCGUGCCUCAUCCCUGCAAGUCGAGCGAACAGACGAGGAGCUUGCUCCUCUGACGUUAGCGGCGGACGGGUGAGUAACACGUGGAUAACCUACCUAUAAGACUGGGAUAACUUCGGGAAACCGGAGCUAAUACCGGAUAAUAUAUUGAACCGCAUGGUUCAAUAGUGAAAGACGGUUUUGCUGUCACUUAUAGAUGGAUCCGCGCCGCAUUAGCUAGUUGGUAAGGUAACGGCUUACCAAGGCAACGAUGCGUAGCCGACCUGAGAGGGUGAUCGGCCACACUGGAACUGAGACACGGUCCAGACUCCUACGGGAGGCAGCAGUAGGGAAUCUUCCGCAAUGGGCGAAAGCCUGACGGAGCAACGCCGCGUGAGUGAUGAAGGUCUUCGGAUCGUAAAACUCUGUUAUUAGGGAAGAACAAAUGUGUAAGUAACUAUGCACGUCUUGACGGUACCUAAUCAGAAAGCCACGGCUAACUACAUG
This 496-nucleotide ribosomal RNA is filed under the name uncultured bacterium. RNAcentral describes it as "partial 16S ribosomal RNA". It matches the Rfam family "Bacterial small subunit ribosomal RNA", at positions 29 to 507 of the family's 1533-position model. The record is from RNAcentral.